This 460-nucleotide ribosomal RNA is filed under the name uncultured bacterium. RNAcentral's name for it is "partial 16S ribosomal RNA". It matches the Rfam family "Bacterial small subunit ribosomal RNA", at positions 338 to 795 of the family's 1533-position model. The record is from RNAcentral.
CCUACGGGAGGCAGCAGUGAGGAAUAUUGGUCAAUGGACGAGAGUCUGAACCAGCCAAGUAGCGUGAGGGAUGACUGCCCUAUGGGUUGUAAACUUCUUUUAUAUGGGAAUAAAAUGUUCCACGUGUGGGAUUUUGUAUGUACCAUAUGAAUAAGGAUAGGCUAACUCCGUGCCAGCAGCCGCGGUAAUACGGAGGAUCCGAGCGUUAUCCGGAUUUAUUGGGUUUAAAGGGAGCGUAGGUGGAUUGUUAAGUCAGUUGUGAAAGUUUGCGGCUCAACCGUAAAAUUGCAGUUGAAACUGGCAGUCUUGAGUACAGUAGAGGUGGGCGGAAUUCGUGGUGUAGCGGUGAAAUGCUUAGAUAUCACGAAGAACUCCGAUUGCGAAGGCAGUUCACUGGACUGCAACUGACACUGAGGCUCGAAAGUGUGGGUAUCAAACAGGAUUAGAUACCCGAGUAGUC